AGUGGCGAACGGGUGAGUAAAACAUCGGAACGUGCCCAAUCGUGGGGGAUAACGCAGCGAAAGCUGUGCUAAUACCGCAUACGAUCUACGGAUGAAAGCAGGGGACCGCAAGGCCUUGCGCGAAUGGAGCGGCCGAUGGCAGAUUAGGUAGUUGGUGAGGUAAAGGCUCACCAAGCCCUCGAUCUGUAGCUGGUCUGAGAGGACGACCAGCCACACUGGGACUGAGACACGGCCCAGACUCCUACGGGAGGCAGCAGUGGGGAAUUUUGGACAAUGGGCGCAAGCCUGAUCCAGCCAUGCCGCGUGCAGGAUGAAGGCCUUCGGGUUGUAAACUGCUUUUGUACGGAACGAAAAGGUUCUUUUUAAUAAAGAGAGCUCAUGACGGUACCGUAAGAAUAAGCACCGGCUAACUACGUGCCAGCAGCCGCGGUAAUACGUAGGGUGCAAGCGUUAAUCGGAAUUACUGGGCGUAAAGCGUGCGCAGGCGGUGAUGUAAGACAGUUGUGAAAUCCCCGGGCUCAACCUGGGAACUGCAUCUGU
This 540-nucleotide ribosomal RNA is filed under the name uncultured bacterium. RNAcentral's name for it is "bacterial SSU rRNA". It matches the Rfam family "Bacterial small subunit ribosomal RNA", at positions 94 to 630 of the family's 1533-position model. The record is from RNAcentral.